This 861-nucleotide ribosomal RNA is filed under the name Burkholderia mallei. RNAcentral's name for it is "bacterial LSU rRNA". It matches the Rfam family "Bacterial large subunit ribosomal RNA", at positions 1 to 901 of the family's 2925-position model. The record is from RNAcentral. Lineage: Bacteria; Pseudomonadati; Pseudomonadota; Betaproteobacteria; Burkholderiales; Burkholderiaceae.
GUUAUAGGGUCAAGCGAACAAGUGCAUGUGGUGGAUGCCUUGGCGAUCACAGGCGAUGAAGGACGCGGUAGCCUGCGAAAAGCUACGGGGAGCUGGCAAACGAGCUUUGAUCCGUAGAUGUCCGAAUGGGGAAACCCGGCCCUUUUGGGUCAUCCUAGACUGAAUACAUAGGUCUAGUGAGGCGAACGCGGUGAACUGAAACAUCUAAGUAACCGCAGGAAAAGAAAUCAACCGAGAUUCCCAAAGUAGUGGCGAGCGAAAUGGGAAGAGCCUGUACUCUUUAUUUGUAUUGUUAGCCGAACGCUCUGGAAAGUGCGGCCAUAGCAGGUGAUAGCCCUGUAGGCGAAAACAGUAUGAAAGAACUAGGUGUACGACAAGUAGGGCGGGACACGUGAAAUCCUGUCUGAAGAUGGGGGGACCAUCCUCCAAGGCUAAAUACUCGUGAUCGACCGAUAGUGAACCAGUACCGUGAGGGAAAGGCGAAAAGAACCCCGGGAGGGGAGUGAAAUAGAUCCUGAAACCGCAUGCAUACAAACAGUCGGAGCCUCUUCGGGGGUGACGGCGUACCUUUUGUAUAAUGGGUCAGCGACUUACGUUCAGUAGCAAGCUUAACCGAAUAGGGCAGGCGUAGCGAAAGCGAGUCCGAAUAGGGCGUUCAGUUGCUGGGCGUAGACCCGAAACCAGGUGAUCUAUCCAUGGCCAGGAUGAAGGUGCGGUAACACGUACUGGAGGUCCGAACCCACUAACGUUGAAAAGUUAGGGGAUGAGCUGUGGAUAGGGGUGAAAGGCUAAACAAACCUGGAAAUAGCUGGUUCUCUCCGAAAACUAUUUAGGUAGUGCCUCGUGUCUCACCUUCGGGGG